UCUUUCGUGGUGUAAUGGUAACAUCGAUGCUUGUCAGUUCUCCAAGAACCUGUUCGCAUCAGCCCCGAGUUCGAUUCUCGGCGAGAGAG
Molecule: non-coding RNA, 89 nt
Organism: Naganishia vaughanmartiniae
Lineage: Eukaryota; Fungi; Basidiomycota; Tremellomycetes; Filobasidiales; Filobasidiaceae
Source: the annotation of a GenBank genome assembly